RNAcentral lists this ribosomal RNA (253 nucleotides) under uncultured bacterium. RNAcentral's name for it is "partial 16S ribosomal RNA". It matches the Rfam family "Bacterial small subunit ribosomal RNA", at positions 524 to 776 of the family's 1533-position model. The record is from RNAcentral.
UACGUAGGGCGCAAGCGUUGUCCGGAAUUAUGGGGCGUAAAGAGCUCGUAGGCGGUUUGUCGCGUCUGCUGUGAAAACCUAAGGCUCAACCUUGGGCUUGCAGUGGGUACGGGCAGACUAGAGUGCGGUAGGGGUGACUGGAAUUCCUGGUGUAGCGGUGGAAUGCGCAGAUAUCAGGAGGAACACCGAUGGCGAAGGCAGGUCACUGGGCCGCAACUGACGCUGAGGAGCGAAAGCAUGGGGAGCGAACAGG